GCACUGCUGAGGAGUCCCAGGACGAAACGGCCGUCCAGUGC
Schistosoma curassoni is the source of this 41-nucleotide non-coding RNA. Lineage: Eukaryota; Metazoa; Platyhelminthes; Trematoda; Strigeidida; Schistosomatidae. The record is from Rfam.